AUUGAACGCUGGCGGCAGGCCUAACACAUGCAAGUCGAGCGAGCGGCGGACGGGUGAGUAAUGUAUGGGGACUGCCCGAUAGAGGGGGAUAACUCCUGGAACCGGUGGCUAAUCCCGCAUACUCUCGGCUAUCCCCUAUGGUCUUAGCUAGUAGGUGGGGUAAAGGCUCACCUAGGCGACGAUCUCUAGCUGGGCUGAGAGGAUGAUCAGCCACACUGGGACUGAGACACGGCCCAGACUCCUACGGAGGCAGCAGUGGGGAAUAUUGCACAAUGGGCGCAAGCCUGAUACAGCCAUGCCGCGUGUAUGAAGAAGGCCUUAGGGUUGUAAAGUACUUUCAGCGGGGAGGCGGGAAGCGAAGAAGAAGCACCGGCUAACUCCGUGCCAGCAGCCGCGGUAAGAC
This 403-nucleotide ribosomal RNA is filed under the name uncultured bacterium. RNAcentral describes it as "partial 16S ribosomal RNA". It matches the Rfam family "Bacterial small subunit ribosomal RNA", at positions 30 to 526 of the family's 1533-position model. The record is from RNAcentral.